RNAcentral lists this ribosomal RNA (492 nucleotides) under uncultured bacterium. Its description in RNAcentral is "partial 16S ribosomal RNA". It matches the Rfam family "Bacterial small subunit ribosomal RNA", at positions 28 to 507 of the family's 1533-position model. The record is from RNAcentral.
GAUGAACGCUAGCUACAGGCUUAACACAUGCUAGUCGAGGGGAAACGGCAUUGAGUGCUUGCACUCUUUGGACGUCGACCGGCGCACGGGUGAGUAACGCGUAUCCAACCUUCCCAUUACUGUGGGAUAACCUGCCGAAAGGCAGACUAAUACCGCAUAGUCUUCGAUGACGGCAUCAGAUUUGAAGUAAAGAUUUAUCGGUAAUGGAUGGGGAUGCGUCUGAUUAGCUUGUUGGCGGGGUAACGGCCCACCAAGGCUACGAUCAGUAGGGGUUCUGAGAGGAAGGUCCCCCACAUUGGAACUGAGACACGGUCCAAACUCCUACGGGAGGCAGCAGUGAGGAAUAUUGGUCAAUGGACGGAAGUCUGAACCAGCCAAGUAGCGUGCAGGAUGACGGCCCUAUGGGUUGUAAACUGCUUUUGUAUGGGGAUAAAGUUAGGGACGUGUCCCUAUUUGCAGGUACCAUACGAAUAAGGACCGGCUAAUUCCGUG